AGCUCAGGGAUAGGAUUGUGACCCAAUCAAAGCUAAUGAGAUGCAUUGGGACUCUCUGGGACUACUGGGAGUGAGGCUGAAACUCAUUUUCACCUGACUUCAGUCAAGGAACACCUGAACCUAGAGCUACAACCCCACACGGUGGGGGUGGGGAGGCUAUCAGAGGCAGCGCCAAUGUUCAAGAAGUAAAAGAGGGAAGGAGAGACAGCCUUGCCUAGUAAUAUAAUACCUUGAUCAGCUCCCUCUUGGACUACUACGUUAAGUGAACUAAGAUUUCUCUGUCUCUUUUUUUAAAGAUUUUAUUUUUCCUUUUUCUCCCCAAAGUCCUCCAGUACAUAGUUGUGUAUUUUUAGUUGUGGGUCCUUCUAGCUGUGGCAUGUGGGACACUGCCUCAGCAUGGCUUGAUGAGCGGUGCCAUGUCCACGCCCAGGAUUUGAACUGGUGAAACCCUGGCCUGCCGAAGCAGAGCGCAAGAACUUAACCACUUGGCCAUGGGGCCAGCCCCUAAGAUUUCUCUUUUGCUUGAUCUGGUUUGGGUUGGCCUCUUCUUAUGCCUCCUUGGCUUCCAGGAGAGCAAUUAAAGAGCUUUUCCUCUAGCUUCACUGAAGAAGAUUAAGCUGGGUAAUCCCAGAGAGGAUGGAGGUUUUGACUCAUAAAGAAAGAGUGACAUGCAAGGCCAACGACAGAAUAUACCUUCUCUAAGGCCUGUAAAGCCAUUCCCACUGGACAGAGGCAAGAUUGUUAAGAUUCCAUGCAAAGUGACCAUCAGCUGGCAGGGUCUAUACCAGAGGGCAUCAGAGAAAGAAAGAAAAAACUGGUCUCUGAGGUGUGAACAGUUCAAAAACAGUAAAUAAAUGGAGAGUGAAGUGGGAUUAUUUUUAUUAACUUUCAAACUCAAAGACCUUUAUCAAAAUCAGAUCUUAUAGAAGAGGGAGUAGGGACACUUGGCCGGAUGCCUCUUCCACAACCCUCAUCCCUCACCUUCAAGGUAAACAAGGAAGAAGGAAAAAGAAAUAGCAAAGAGGGAGAGAGAAAAACCGACUUUCCUUCAGCGAGGACCACGCUCCUCUCAGAAAGGGGCCAGGCUUUCAAGGGCCUCUGAUGCAGGAAGGUAGAGGGUAGCUCGGUCUCCUGCAAAUGCAGUCCACUCUCUCAAGCUGAGAUGACAUCUGAGGACAAACCAGAGGCAAUAAGUGGAGGAGCUAGCUUCAGAGUGAUUACUUCUCAAGCUGGAGGUUCCUUUGAGUCUACGUCGUGACCCACUUAACACAAGGACCCCCACAGCCAGUAACAGACUACCAGCCUCCACCUAACCCCUAAAGUAUUGAUCAUUAUGCAUUCAGCUGUAUAGUCAACAACCGCAGAUUCUCUUCUUUGAGACACGGUGCUAGGUCCUUGCUUCCUGGCAUUUACAAUCACAUUUGAAAACUUAGAAAUGCCAAUAACUCCAAUAUAAGAGUAGGAGCAGAUGCCAUUGACUAAGUGAGAUAUAGGAGCUCCAGGGAAGGAGACAUCAUUUCUGACUCCAGUGACUAGGUGCGAGGAGGAUGCAGCUCUGAUGAGAGCCUGCUUUGUCCUGGGACAGUCCUCGAUAUUUUACAGACUCUGUCACUUGAUGUGGAAGGCUUCAUGAAGGACUUGGAGUCUAAGGCCUUGAGUGAUGGGAAGAAUUAGGAAAGGCAGAAAUGUAAUUUCAAUUGAAUUUUUAUUGAUUGCCCA
This is a long non-coding RNA of Equus asinus (donkey), 1719 nucleotides long. The record is from Ensembl. Lineage: Eukaryota; Metazoa; Chordata; Mammalia; Perissodactyla; Equidae.